RNAcentral lists this ribosomal RNA (1256 nucleotides) under Lactiplantibacillus plantarum. Its description in RNAcentral is "bacterial SSU rRNA". It matches the Rfam family "Bacterial small subunit ribosomal RNA", at positions 139 to 1383 of the family's 1533-position model. Lineage: Bacteria; Bacillati; Bacillota; Bacilli; Lactobacillales; Lactobacillaceae. The record is from RNAcentral.
CGGAUAACACCUGGAAACAGAUGCUAAUACCGCAUAACAACUUGGACCGCAUGGUCCGAGUUUGAAAGAUGGCUUCGGCUAUCACUUUUGGAUGGUCCCGCGGCGUAUUAGCUAGAUGGUGGGGUAACGGCUCACCAUGGCAAUGAUACGUAGCCGACCUGAGAGGGUAAUCGGCCACAUUGGGACUGAGACACGGCCCAAACUCCUACGGGAGGCAGCAGUAGGGAAUCUUCCACAAUGGACGAAAGUCUGAUGGAGCAACGCCGCGUGAGUGAAGAAGGGUUUCGGCUCGUAAAACUCUGUUGUUAAAGAAGAACAUAUCUGAGAGUAACUGUUCAGGUAUUGACGGUAUUUAACCAGAAAGCCACGGCUAACUACGUGCCAGCAGCCGCGGUAAUACGUAGGUGGCAAGCGUUGUCCGGAUUUAUUGGGCGUAAAGCGAGCGCAGGCGGUUUUUUAAGUCUGAUGUGAAAGCCUUCGGCUCAACCGAAGAAGUGCAUCGGAAACUGGGAAACUUGAGUGCAGAAGAGGACAGUGGAACUCCAUGUGUAGCGGUGAAAUGCGUAGAUAUAUGGAAGAACACCAGUGGCGAAGGCGGCUGUCUGGUCUGUAACUGACGCUGAGGCUCGAAAGUAUGGGUAGCAAACAGGAUUAGAUACCCUGGUAGUCCAUACCGUAAACGAUGAAUGCUAAGUGUUGGAGGGUUUCCGCCCUUCAGUGCUGCAGCUAACGCAUUAAGCAUUCCGCCUGGGGAGUACGGCCGCAAGGCUGAAACUCAAAGGAAUUGACGGGGGCCCGCACAAGCGGUGGAGCAUGUGGUUUAAUUCGAAGCUACGCGAAGAACCUUACCAGGUCUUGACAUACUAUGCAAAUCUAAGAGAUUAGACGUUCCCUUCGGGGACAUGGAUACAGGUGGUGCAUGGUUGUCGUCAGCUCGUGUCGUGAGAUGUUGGGUUAAGUCCCGCAACGAGCGCAACCCUUAUUAUCAGUUGCCAGCAUUAAGUUGGGCACUCUGGUGAGACUGCCGGUGACAAACCGGAGGAAGGUGGGGAUGACGUCAAAUCAUCAUGCCCCUUAUGACCUGGGCUACACACGUGCUACAAUGGAUGGUACAACGAGUUGCGAACUCGCGAGAGUAAGCUAAUCUCUUAAAGCCAUUCUCAGUUCGGAUUGUAGGCUGCAACUCGCCUACAUGAAGUCGGAAUCGCUAGUAAUCGCGGAUCAGCAUGCCGCGGUGAAUACGUUCCCGGGCCUUG